AAUGAACGCUGGCGGUAGGCCUAACACAUGCAAGUCGAACGGCAGCACAGUAAUAGCUUGCUCUUACGGGUGUCGAGUGGCGGACGGGUGAGGAAUACAUCGGAAUCUACUUUUUCGUGGGGGAUAACGUAGGGAAACUUACGCUAAUACCGCAUACGACCUACCGUUGACAGCAGGGGAUCUUCGGUCCUUUCUGGAUUAAAUGAGCCGAUGUCGGAUUAGCUAGUUGGCGGGGUAAAGGCCCACCAAGGCGACGAUCCCUAGCUGGUCUGAGAGGAUGAUCAGCCACACUGGAACUGAGACACGGUCCAGACUCCGACGGGAGGCAGCAGUGGGGAAUAUUGGACAAGGGGCGCAAGCCUGAUCCAGCAAUACCGCGUGGGUGAAGAAGGCCUUCGGGUUGUAAAGCCCUUUUGUUGGGAAAGAAAAGCAGCAGGUUAAUACCCCGCUGUUCUGACGGUACCUAAAGAAUAAGCACCGGCUAACUUCGUG
Molecule: ribosomal RNA, 492 nt
Filed under: uncultured bacterium
Lineage: Bacteria
Description: partial 16S ribosomal RNA
Rfam family: Bacterial small subunit ribosomal RNA
Source: RNAcentral